CAUAAAUGAUGAUCCUGAGAAUGGUUUCGCUUACUGGACUGAUGUCUGGUGAUGUCACAUUUCUCUUGGCUGUCUGAUCAG
Small nucleolar RNA from Megalops cyprinoides (Indo-Pacific tarpon), 81 nucleotides. RefSeq annotates it as small nucleolar RNA SNORD53/SNORD92. Lineage: Eukaryota; Metazoa; Chordata; Actinopteri; Elopiformes; Megalopidae. The transcript has a single exon. The record is from RefSeq and is a predicted model, not a curated record.